Molecule: ribosomal RNA, 466 nt
Filed under: uncultured bacterium
Lineage: Bacteria
Description: partial 16S ribosomal RNA
Rfam family: Bacterial small subunit ribosomal RNA
Source: RNAcentral
GACGAACGCUGGCGGCGUGCUUAACACAUGCAAGUCGUGCGGUAAGGCCCUUUCGGGGGUACACUAGCGGCGAACGGGUGAGUAACACGUGAGCAACCUGCCCUUCACUUUGGGAUAACUGCCGGAAACGGUGGCUAAUACCGGAUAUGACUUCCUCACUCAUGUGGGUUGGUGGAAAGCCUUCGGGGGGUUGGGGGUGGGCUCGCGGUCUAUCAGCUUGUUGGUGGGGUGUUGGCCUACCAAGGCUUCGACGGGUAGCCGGCCUGAGAGGGUGACCGGCCACCCUGGGACUGCGAGACGGACCAGAAUCGUACGGGAGGCAGCAGUGGGGAAUAUUGGACAAUGGGCGAACGCCUGUUCCAGAAACGCCGCGUGAGGGAUGACGGCCUUCGGGUUGUAAACCUCUUUCGCAUGAGACGAAGCGAGAGUGACGGUAGCAGGUAAAGAAGCACCGGCCAACUACGUG